Oreochromis niloticus (Nile tilapia) is the source of this 11115-nucleotide long non-coding RNA. RefSeq lists it as uncharacterized. The record is from RefSeq and is a predicted model, not a curated record. Lineage: Eukaryota; Metazoa; Chordata; Actinopteri; Cichliformes; Cichlidae. The transcript has 4 exons.
UGUAGAGAUGUGUCUGCUACUGGAACUCUGUGCGGCAUUUAUCUGGGCUCUGAUCUGAGGUGCUGUUAACUUGUGAUUUCUGAAGCUGGUGACUCUGAUGUAUUUAUCCUCAGCUGCACUCGAUGGUUUUUGCGACUGCACUUGGGGGCACAUUGAAAGUUUUAGCAAUUUUUCUGAACUGACUGACCUUCAGCUCUUGAAGUAAUGAUGAACUGUUGUUUCUCUUUUCUUAGCUACUUAAGGAAACUACACUGAGAUUACAAGCAUUUCGGAAUAAACUGCGGAUAGUAAAUUACUCAUGCUUGGCCUUCAAGACUCCAAGCAUUUCAAAGAGGCCAUGUGGAGUCUAAUAAUGCUCUGCCCUGCAUGGUGGAGAGAAUACAGGUUUCCUGUCAAAUAUCUGAAGCUUCAAGCCUCAGCAGUAUCAGCAUUCGUCAUAUGCCCUGUAUCCUGCAAGUUUUGUCCAGGCAGGACCUUCGCCUUAAACAAAUGGAGUAUUUUCAGUAGAGAAGCUGACUGUUUGCACACCUGAAGCAUACUAUCUUCUCUUGUGUGCUGUCUGUGUAAACACCAAACAGUGUUCUGACCUGAUUCAACCAACCCUGUUCAGAGUUCAUGGAUGAACUCUUACAAUAAAUUGUUCUGUUUGACAAGAAGCCUGCAGCUGAACUAUGGCUACAGACUCAUCUACAGUGUCUCAAACAUCUCUGAAAAACAUCACUCAAACUGCAGUCAAUAAAUACGUCUGGCAAAAUAAAUAUUAAAUUCAGUAUGUAUUACAGGCACAGUAAUCCUAACCACUGGACUUAAUCGUUCAUCCUCAUUUUAUUGAUCCAAAUACUCAACCGUAAUAUGAUCUGACUGUGAUGAAAGUUGAUGCGUACUACUGUAUUACAUUACAAACCAUGCAAAUGAUAUAUACCAUAGAUAAGCGGGUUUGUGCUUGUUUGUGAUACCCACAAAUCACUGUGUAAUUAUAUACUGUACAUAGAAGGAGUGGAUUGAGAUACAACAGACAAGUGCAGACAGCACCAAUUAAAUGGUGGUUUAAGUGUGUUGUUGUCAUGGUGACUAAGCUAGUGGGCUACCUCUGAAAUUCUGUUUCAUAUUAAAUGCCAUUGCUUUUGUUCCUGUGCACGUCUCUAUUCUUCACCUCCCUCCUCAGUGCAUGCAUUUUACUUCAUCCCCGCCUGUAUCUCUUUGACUGGCUGAAAAACAUCAAAAACAAUCCCAGUUAACCAGCUUUCAAAUGCCUUGUCUCGUGCACUGCUUCACUCUUUGUAUGUCUCUUUCAGUUUCUCUCCCAGCUGUGCCCUCAUCCAUGCUGCCACGUUAGACAGUUAGCAGACAUUGUGGCACAAGAUGCAGUGGGGGUGGAGGAUUUGUGCCACAGGGGGUUUACAGUCUGUCUCCCCCCACAUUUCUAAAGGAAACAACAUGUUUCAUUGUUUACCCUGGUGUACAGAGACACUGAGGUAAAUGGUUUUAUGUGAUCUGCCUAAUCUCUGAGAGAAAGCCUGACUAGCGGAGAAGCGUGGGAGCUUUGGAGUAUUUUGAUUUUAGUGACCUUGCACACGCAGGCAGACAGCCACACAGACAGCAAUAUGCACAACAGGAUCAUAUCAAUAUUAGCUCCUAAACUUGAAAACAUGGAUAGAUUUCAUGCCUACUGUCAUUAAAUACAUACAUAAAUACAUAUGCUUUUGUAGUGAUAGGGAACAGCUGAGAAGAGACAACACGACAUCAUUCCUGCAAUUGGUCUAAUGAGAAUACAACAAAGAAAGAGGAGACACACAAUCUAAUGUCAUGAUGUGAUAUGAAAGUUACCUUUCACCUCCUUUUGGCUACACUUAAUUGCACCAGAUUGUUCAUGUUUUGUUUCUUAUCAAGAGACAUUAGUAACUUACUUGGUGAGGGCAAUGUUAGUACUUUUGGCAAGAUCUAAGAAAAAGUGAAAGAGUUGAUAUUUAAUAUGAUAUAAAUACACAGAGUCGGGCAGAUGGAGGGAGAGAAACAAACAGAGGGAGAUGGAGAGAAAGAGGCAAAAGUUUCUGAAGCAGUAAAUUAAAUCGAGAAACUCUCAUAUGAGCCGCUGGAUGUGUGGGAAGAAUGUAUAUUACCGGACUUGUAUGUUACAACUCAGGAAAGGGCUGAUGACUCAGAAGGCUGUGGGCAAGUUGCUUUGGAGAAAGAUGGAAAUCAAGGGAUGUAGACAAGUAUAGGCAGGCAGGUAGAAAGCAAAUCAGCCUGAGAAAAGGAGGAGGGAAGAGCGAGAAGAGCAGACAGACUGACAGAUGAACACAAGACAGGCCUGUUUGGUAUCGCUGUUAUACAACAACAGACGUGAAGGUGCAGACUAAUUACAAUAUACAAUACAAGUACAUGAUACAGAGAAUAGGCUAAUUGUGUGAACGUGUGUGCGCGUGUGUUUGUCUCUGUGUGUGCACUGGUGUCUCUGCUGCCUUUGCAUGCGGGAUUUAUCUUUGCCCAGCAGGCAGUGUUGUACCAUAUGGUCCACAGAGUAGAUAUUCCUAAAACAACACACAAACACUCACACUUAGAUACAAAGACAUGCAGGCUCACACACGCAUGUAGACAUUUGCGCAGAUACACACACACAUGCAUGCACGCACGCACACAACGUGAUAGAGAGGAAGAAGAGGAAGAGAGAGACAGAGAGUCAUCGGUGAGCACGAUAGAGCCAUCUGCCCGGCCUGGAUUGCUGAGAUCCACAAAUCACAAACCAAAUAAUAAUUAAACAACAAACUAACAUUGCACUAUGACAAGCAGUGAAGUAUAUUUGCAAAUAUGCAAAAUGUUUGGGGCUUACGUAAAAUCCAACAGGCAGGACAGACGCACUGAAUCAGAGAAAGUGAGAAACUAAAAUGAUAGUAGCUAACUGAGAGUUAUUAUUUAUUGUCAGGACAGAAAGUUUGAAAUAGCUGAAGAGAUGACAAGACGCCCUCCGUGAACUCACUUCAGACAGUAGGUCCCCCCAGGGGGGGACUGGCUGGAGGUCCACUAAGCCCCUCGGAGCCCAUAUGGUUUGAGGCUUACACACCCUGAAAUGACACGUGAAGGCAAGCCCACAGGAAGAAGAUACAGGGGUAACUGGAUGGUGUUUGGGGAAGGGUGGUGGGGUUGGGGGUUGGGGGGACUGGCAGCAUGUUAAGAGCGUUCAGAAAUGUGAAUGAAGGGCGUAUUCUAGGGAAAGCGUAACUUACAGUUCCGUGUUUGCGCAUCUGUGUGUUUUUAGUGCGUUUUGAGUGAUCGACCUAACUCGGCGUGACGUGCGACACAAUGGAAUUUAUGUAUGAGCUUGUGUGUGGGGAUAAAUAAAUAAAGAGGAGUAAUGAACAUAUUCUAUAUGAUCUUACUGAACAGUGACACUAAUGGCAUCAACAGAUAAAAUUCUCCUUCUGCUAUUUAACAAACUGCCACGAUGGAAUGACAGACCUGCUGCUUGGACUCCUCCUAUCUUUAACAGCCCUGUUUUCUCCUCUUUUCCCCUCCCCCUGUCAUUUAUCUUACACUCUUCCCUCCCUUCUUCUGUUGCAUUCAUCUUGUUUAUUGACUUGUUUUAGAUUGUCUGGAAAAGCUAUAACAUUUAGGCCCAUUUGCCAUCUUGGAGGAUUUUAACUAAACUUGGUAAUAAACAUCCCAGUUAUCAGCACAACAAAUCAGGGGUGUAACGCAAAGGAUGCAAGAAAUGUCAGGGCGUGGUACACAGAGUAUGUAUGACAGUGUGUAGGUUGUGUAUUAACUAUUAAGCAAACAACUACCUCGAUUGCUUCCUGUAUAUAUAUCAGUGCCCAGAGGCAUUUUAGACUUAAGUCACUGUGGAAGCACUUUUAACUGCAAUGUGCUGAACAAGCUGUUUCCCAUGCUCAUUUUGUUCAACAAGUCAUUAUGUUAUCAAUCCUAAAGAUGGACCCAGUCUGUUAUCUUGGAAAUAUAGACUGGUUAUUAAUAAUGCUGACUGAAUCAUGCUGGGAGUUUGUACUUGGUAAAGAUACCUCUGUGUUGCUAAGUCAUCAGCACAAAGGUAUCUUUGACAAGCACCCUGUAUUUUUAAGUUCAGCCCCUUGGUGGGACUCAGUUAUUUCUAAGUGGCCUUAAAUACUUGGAAACACCUUAGUCCCACCAAGGGACUGAUAUGUUAAAUUAAUUCUUUUACACAAGAGUUAGGAAAGCAUAAUUUUCUUUUAAAUUUAUUUGCCACUUUACAAAGUCCUGCUAACCUAAUCUGGCAGCAAAUUCAAUGAACAGUUUGAGAUCAGGAGGUUUGCUGUCUUGCCAAGUGUUAAAUGAAAACAUCAAACGCAGCUGGUCAUCUUAGCUUAUCAUAAAGACUGGAAACAGGCAAACAAAAGCUUCUCCUCAGAGUAAACCACUACGUCCACAGCUCACUUAACACAUUAUAUCUUGUUUGUUUAGUCAAAGAAAAUUGUAAAAAGUAAUGAUUUGUGGUUUAAGAUGGGGUUGUGUGCUGGACUAUUUCUUGGCAACACACAGUGCCUUUACAGAGUCUUGUUAUCACGUACCCAGCCAGGAAAUCGUCCUGUAGAUAACCUCUGAGCUAAACACAAAGGUUAAAGAACACAUGGGCAAAAAUGGUAAAACUUCAAAAUACAAAAGUUUCUCUUGAAUCAAGUGUUACCAUGCCAUCAAAAAACAUGUUGAUGGCAACAUGUUUUUACUAAAUCUGGACCCAUCGUGGAACAUUUUAAAGGAAGAAAACGGGGACAAGUAAGAGAGGAUAGGUUUAGACAUGCCCCGGAGGAGAGAGGAAGAGUGAAGGGAAAAGAGCAGCACAAGGAUCGACACUGAGUCACACAACAGGACAGGAAGUCUUAGAUGGAGACACCCUUCCUUCCUGUCAGUGUACUGAUCACCAACACUGGACACCAUUUGGUCUCGCAUCACAUGACACAUGUGGCAAGUAUUAUGGCGUACAGCACCACGAGUUGUGCUGUGUAGGUGUGCCGCUUACAUGGAGUGGUACUCUUCUAUGUGCUGCGUCUAGUAGCCAAGUUAUUAAAACUCAAGUCUGACAGUCCACGUGAAGCCGCUCAGUGUGAAGCCUCUCAGGGAACAACAUAGUUUUCUUUUGGGAACAUUUCAGCAGCCAGACAAUGAGCUUAAGUACAGGUUGAUCAGCAAAUUACUCCCUAGCAUAGCAGUGGGCGCCAAAGGCAAGAAGGGAAAAAAAGCAAGUUCCAGAUUUAUGAGCAGCUCCCAACUGUCUACAUGCUUUUCAGUCAUAUUAUUGUGCCUGCAGCACAGCAAGAUUUGCAUUUGAACAGACCGCAAAUAUCAUUUUAACACCUUCUUUAAAAGAACUGAGGAGGCCUGGGUACAAUUUUCACAGGCAGAUAUUGGCUAAGUGAGAUCACACUACUAAGAGUGUGAUCUGUUUUUAUGGAAGAAAGAAAACAGCCAAUGGCUACAGUGUCCUCAAAUUAGAUACUAACCACACCCCCAUAGCAUAGCUCCACUAUUAUUCCUGUUGUCACGACAGACUCCGGGAUGUAACUCUGAUUCUGAGAUGUUAAGAAUUUCUGGAAUUUGUAUACAAGCAGGAAAGAUAAACAACUGUUAAGACACCAUUAGCAAUUACAUUUAAAUGAAACUAGACAAUAGACUGAGUCAUAUAUACUGUAUAGCUUAUUAGGGAUAGCAUUUGGCUACAAGCACUCUAAGCUCUGGUUUAAAGCGAGUCUGGCCUUAAAGGCAGAUGAGUUAAAAUGGCAGGCAGUACAUCAACUGAGGGUCUGCACCAAGGCCUGUUAGAUAAAUAAAGAAUAUUUUCAACUGUGUGUCAUACAAAGCUACUCUCACAUAGCCCAUGAAAAGCAGGCUCAUGUUUUGUUUUGCCUUAAGCAGUACUAGCGUGAACACAAGCAGCUACGUUUGUAUAAGAGGAUCCUAAUUCUAUUGCCAGUUUUACACUUUUCCAGUGACAGCAUUGUGAUGCUGAGGGACAGAAAAAAAGGAAAAGCUACAAAAAAUAAACAAACUAAUAGCUCAUAGGAACCGUGCAACUUUCAAAAUGUUACAAACACGAUCACCGUGCAAAUGUUUCAUGAUGAAGGAUAUCAACUGUAUAAGGCUUCAACUAUCUAAAUGAUGUGAUUUGUAGGGAAACACCGAAUGCUAACAGCUGUUGUUUGCAGACAGAAAAACUCCCCGGGGCAUGUUUAGAAUAAUUGCACCAAUAAAACAAUGUGACGUCUUAUUCACUUACUGAUACUGACUUGUUUUUGUUUUGCUUUUUCAUUUGGCCUUACACUGCAGUGCAACACUGUUGGCUACAAAAUAGCUGAAUCCAAAGUCCACUGAUGUGGGUCAGUAGACUGGAGACUCCUGGUGUCAUAGGAGACUUCCUUUUCCACAGCUCCACACAGGAUAUGAGUAAUUUCCUCUGAGCCUAGCCUAUCCAAAAUUCUCAGAAUUCAAUUCAGUGCAGAGGGUCAUAUCUAGGGCAUCUUUAGGAUAAAAUGUAAUGACAGCUGUGUGGGCAUUAUGCACAUGAAUGUAGGAAGAAUGAGUCAGUCUGCAAACAGGUAAGAUUGAACAUGUACACCCUGUCCUUUGCCAGCACAAAAAUAUCACAGUGGUUUUGGUGAAAAUGAAAGAGACUGAUGUGUGACUCAUGUGGUAAUAACACAGUGUUACAUGUUAACACUGAUUUGGCUGCAGAGGUAUGAAUAUUUGUUUCUGACUGCUGUGCUGUCACACUUACUUCCUGCAGUGUUGUGUUUUAGUGUGAGACAGAUACGCUGGCACCCUUGGGUGGGGCUAUUGUGCAAUCUUUACAAUGUAAACUCAGUGAACACUCAGCUCUGCCACACGCUUCCUGCCGGGACCAAAUAUGGAAAAUAUUUCCGUAAUGUAAACAAACACGCUCUGGUUAGGAGUCAGAAAGCAAUUUGAAAUUGUACAGUAAGUUUUUAACUGUGUGGGUGAGCUGGUAAUAUGAUGCUUUUGUGAAAGCUUGCAAAAACAUUUUGGCACUGUCAAACCAUUAUUACCACAUUUUGGACCAAAAUAGAGCCUCACAAAUCUUCUCCAGAAACUGACAGGAAGAUAAAUAACAACAGUGUGUUACACAUAUACUACACAAAAACUUCAGCUCUUCUGUUUGUAGUUGCUCUCUCCCACAGAGUUCUUUUUCUGCACUUCGGUUGGUGAGGUUAUAAAAGAGCUGUUGCAUAAACCUGCCUCAGGAGGAAAGUUUGAUGAUAAAUCUGGACGCUUAACAGGCAGAAGAAAAGUGACCAAUGGAGAGCUGCAGAAGAGGGGUAACAGGCGUGCACACCCUAAACUGAAACACUUAGGGUGUUCAUUGUCAGGCACAUCAUUUUGACAUGAGGGCAAAGUAUCACUAAGAACAGGUGGUAGAGUUCACAGCACACAGCGUCAUGAUGUGAAUAGUAAGGACCUCAGCUGAGAAAUGGGGUAAAGAUGAUGUAAAGAGGGGAAUAAAAGUGGUUCGUAAAUGGGGAAGGAAGGUCAUGGAUGUCAUGCCAUGUUAGUCAGAAUUUUGAAUCUGCUGUUAUGACAGGAAGGCAAAGCCAGUGUGGUAGGACACAGUCACAUGACCCAGCAUCAGGCCUUGGAUGUCACUUCUUCCCACAACCACAUUUCUACCAAAUUGGGGGGACUGGGGGGGAAAAAAGGAGGGCAACAGAAGAUGACAGCGAGAUGUGUUUAUGUGAAACAGCAAAAAUUCUGGAACCAUGCUGGAUUUACAGAACUGAAAAUGCAGAAGAAUGAUUAUAUAAUUGUUGGAAGGCUUUCACCAGAAGAAGCUAACAUUAAGUUUUCCCAACAAGCAGUCAGCUGCACUCAGUAUUUUCAGAGGUUUUAACUUAACCUAGGCUAUAACAUAUUUCUCCAUGUUGGGCACAUCAGAUAGCCCUAAAACCCACUUUAGCCUUUUUCCCAUAGAAAACUGCCACUUUGUGUAGCCUGAAAACAACACUGCUGAGAGAAGACGAUUGCAAAGACAAUUCCAUCUAAAACUGACGGAUGUUGGAUAUUCAUUAAUUUAGUUGUUUUAAUUGGGCAUCCUGAUUCUGGAAAUCCCAAGGCAACACUAGCUGGUAGAUUUUAAGAGGUAAGCAGGGAUUUUAUGCAUAAACUUGGUAAUGGGUUUAAAAAUAGCUAGUCCAACCCAAUCCAGAUCUAGUGAUAGUGUGCUGUAGCUGAUUUUGCCCUUACAUCUCUAUGUGAUGUUGCUAGCAGUGGUUAAGGGGUGUGGGUAUUAUUAUAUUAGAAAAAAAAGUCUCCAUAACCUUUAUCACAACUAGUAGUUUAAACCUUUAACUGCACUCUGUGGUUUCACCCUAGACGUUCCAGCAUCACACAAAUAGCACGACUUGGCCACGACAUCAGCUUGCCUGGUCGAAAUGUUACAUCAUGCGCCAUUCCUAAACAUCUGAUCAAAGAAUGAAACACACAACCAAGAAAUUAUUUAAGGACAUUCACUUCCUGUAAGUCAUCUGAGAGAUAAGCCAGCAUGUCAGCCAAGCAUUAAACCACACCCAAACCACAAUAGCUUCAUCUGAAGUCGGUCGUAGAGCACAGACGUUAGUAUCAAGUUUGAGCUACUCGAGUCAAAGGUAAAACUGACUUAUAAAAGGUGUUACUGAAGGUGUUAAUGCUUAUUUAAGAACUCAUUUGUUCAGCCCUGAAUUUUAAUUAUAUAAGUAAUUAUACCUACAGAAAGAUCAAAAUCCAGUGUGCCAUGCCACCACACAGUCCAUGACCUGAUUCUUCCCCCAUCAUAAUUAAAACACUGAAUGAAACUGAGCUCGAUUACAAAUCAGGUCCUUAAGCAUUACUUGUCCUCGCUAACACCGCUGAAUAAAAGCUAUUAAUCCACACGAGGGACGCUGCAAGUGACUAGUCCUGUCUGACUGGCUCCUUUGGCCUACUUUCCUUUUCAGAUUGAGCUGUGGUGCGAUCCGAGGCAACUGUGCUAUGAUUAUCUAAAGAUGGAUAUAAGGAGCAGUUUGACUGCGUGCCCAGUGGGAUCAAUCUUGUGACACAGUGGGGCGGUGUCUGGGGGCCUGUUUGGACAAACCCUGGGCUCUAUCUUUUAUCCUUUAUCACAGCUGCUCGUUCUUUCUCUAUUGUUGUGUUAGUUGUAGCCUCUGGAUCACACAGGGUUCUAUCGGGGCUGUGAUCAAAGAUCUUCAGCAGAUAAAGCUCAAGGCCAAAGUACUGAAAUUAAACAUGCAGAACACAUUAAUACCGCUUCUUAUCAUAUCCCGACUUCUAUCCUUCGCUCUUUUACUUCAGGCUAAAGACAUGUCCAGACAUUACAGUUAAAGGAAUGAGAGGAAUGGGAGGAAUUCUGGGGCAUUCCCAUCUUGGCACAGUCAUCUCUGAGCGAGAAGGCCACUCCCUGAAUUACAGGCAGAGUUGAGAGAAGGAGAUGAUUUGCCAUCAGUUUGCUGAAUAUCAGCCUGUUCAGUAAACUUAGACAAUGAAAAAUAAAGAGGUUAGACUUCAAAAUUACAGCAAUACGUCUAACUUAUGAGUCUUUCAGAAGCUGCUGUUAAUAAUACCACAAGUAAUGCCAGUUCAAGGAAAGGUAGAAGAACAACUGCAAUGAUUUAAUAUAUGGUUGAUCAGGAAACUAUUAGGUCUAAUCCAGACUACUGUUCCUGCUAAGGAAGUUAGUACAUCAGAGGAGGUGAGAAUAGCUUAAGUGUAGUGUAUAUGUGUGUGCGUGCAUGCGUGUGUGAGCGAAAAAGAAAAAAAACAAAACAACCUUUAACGGUAAGACAAACAUGGACAUUCCUGCGUUGUUAUGGUAAUGCCCUGCACAAAAGGAAAUAACAGUCACACAGAACAAAUUAACAAAUGAUGCUGCAUUUAAAGCAAAUUACACUUUUUGUUUGUGUGUGUGUGUGUGUGUUUGUAUGAGGGUCAAGUGAGCAAGUCUAAUAAAAGUCAAAUGGUUUUCAGAGCAUAUUGCUUUAGACAAAUACAGUACACAAGAGGCACAUCUGCCGAGAAAAAAAAGGCAAAACCGCUCUCCUGAACACAACAGGGCCUCAAAAAUAGCAUGAUGAUGCUGGGAGAGAACGAGAAGCCUGUAAUUCAACAAGGAGCCUAUAUAGUGAUUAAGUCCCAUGUUAAAAAAAAAAAAAAAAAUGCAAACACACACCACCCACUCUCACUGGCUCGGUUGCAACAUUUCCUGUCAGAGCAAUUGCUUCCAAGAGCAGAAGAAAAAAAGAGAAGUCUUGCAUCAGUGCAACAAGCAGCACACUUAUCUUAAUCAUUAAGAAAUCGAUAUUUUUGCUUUAAUGCAACCAGAGCUGCAUAUUCAAACCUUACAAUUAUCUUUACGCUCUAGAAAUUCUCUUUAAAGUUCAGUCAUGCUUCCUGUCGUGACCUAAGAAAGUAUAUGUUUGUGGCAAAUGAGAGAAAAGUGCUCAAACAAACCGGCACCCACCCUUCCUCAGCCGACAGUCACCAUUCCAGCAGUGACCAAACUCUCACAGGUCACGAGGCCACCCUGAGCAGCCAUACCACAUCCCAACCCCCUCCUUGACCAUGGCAACCACAUCACAUGACUAUCACUCAUGACCGGGAACCGCUGACAAACUGGACCGUCUGUAAACCUGCGCCACUGAUUUCCUGCCGACUGCAACUGAAACCUUUAAAAAUAGGCAAGAUGUGAAGACAACGCAACAACUCAGGUAUUCAGAACGUGACGACAACAGCAACAAAGUGAAACUGGAUAUCUGAACGGCUGAAGCCAAUUCAACCCUGAACGCGGAGAUAGCAUCAGUGCUGAGUUUUGCACAAAACGAAGGAAGUGAAACUUUCACCUUCUUGCUCCCUAGAAAAAGACCGAUAAAAAGAAGCUGGAACUCGACAGGCCCUUUUCUCUCCAAAGGGCAAAUUCUUCUGCUAUCAGAUGUUUAUACCACAGCAAGAGAUUGAAACUGUGCAGCAAUAGCAGCAACAGAGGAGAGUGGUGUACAUUUACAGUAACUGGGGCACUGCUGUACAAACUCCUGCCAUCUCAUCCACUACCAGUUCAACGAUAUCAUUUUAAGGCAGAGUUCAGUUUCAGCUCUGUUCUUACCU